GUGCUCGCUUUAGCAGCACAUACACUAAAAAUUGGAACGAUACAGAGAAGAUUAGCAUGGCCCCUGCGCAAGGAUGAUGCGCAAAUUCGUGAAGCAUUCCAUAUUUUU
Molecule: small nuclear RNA, 108 nt
Filed under: Piliocolobus tephrosceles (Ugandan red Colobus)
Lineage: Eukaryota; Metazoa; Chordata; Mammalia; Primates; Cercopithecidae
Source: RNAcentral